Molecule: ribosomal RNA, 253 nt
Filed under: uncultured bacterium
Lineage: Bacteria
Description: partial 16S ribosomal RNA
Rfam family: Bacterial small subunit ribosomal RNA
Source: RNAcentral
UUCGUAGGGUGCAAGCGUUGUCCGGAAUUAUUGGGCGUAAAGAGCUCGUAGGCGGUCUGUCGCGUCUGCUGUGAAAACUCGGGGCUUAACCCCGGGCCUGCAGUGGGUACGGGCAGACUAGAGUGCGGUAGGGGAGACUGGAAUUCCUGGUGUAGCGGUGAAAUGCGCAGAUAUCAGGAGGAACACCGGUGGCGAAGGCGGGUCUCUGGGCCGUAACUGACGCUGAGGAGCGAAAGCAUGGGGAGCGAACAGG